UGGGGAAUUUUCCGCAAUGGGCGAAAGCCUGACGGAGCAAGACCGCGUGAGGGAUGAAGGCUCUUGGGUUGUAAACCUCUUUUAUCAGGGAAGAAGAACUGACGGUACCUGGUGAAUCAGCAUCGGCUAACUCCGUGCCAGCAGCCGCGGUAAGACGGAGGAUGCAAGCGUUAUCCGGAAUUAUUGGGCGUAAAGCGUCCGCAGGUGGUUAGUCAAGUCUGCUGUUAAAGAUCGGGGCUUAACUCCGAAAAGGCGGUGGAAACUGGCUGACUAGAGUACGGUAGGGGUAGAGGGAAUUCCCAGUGUAGCGGUGAAAUGCGUAGAGAUUGGGAAGAACACCAGUGGCGAAAGCGCUCUACUAGGCCUGUACUGACACUCAGGGACGAAAGCUAGGGGAGCA
RNAcentral lists this ribosomal RNA (400 nucleotides) under uncultured bacterium. Its description in RNAcentral is "bacterial SSU rRNA". It matches the Rfam family "Bacterial small subunit ribosomal RNA", at positions 355 to 770 of the family's 1533-position model. The record is from RNAcentral.